GGAACUAGGCUUGGAUGCUUGUAAUGAGGAGGAGUAACCCAUGGGAUGGUUGCUUGGCCCAGUUCCAGCCCAGAACCCACUAUUUUUCAUGGAAGGUCAAGAAAUUAGGAGUUAAGCCUAUGGACAUCUGCCUGGAGUGGUAUUUCCAAAUUGGUGUUUCUCCUCUGGAGGUUCAGUUUCAAAUUUAAUUAGCUAGCUAAUGAUAGUAAAUUACUAUAAUUAAUUGAUGAAUGCUAAAGUGCUUUGACUAAAAAGCAGUAUGCAUAAUUUUGAGGGCAGUUAAUUUCUUGUCUAACUUUGAGAACUAAUCUAGGAGAGAGACUUUU
This 326-nucleotide long non-coding RNA is filed under the name Bos taurus (domestic cattle). RNAcentral's name for it is "long non-coding RNA NONBTAT008049". Lineage: Eukaryota; Metazoa; Chordata; Mammalia; Artiodactyla; Bovidae. The record is from RNAcentral.